UUUUUUUUCUUCCAAAUAUAUCUUUAACAUGUUAUCAUAAUAACAAUAUAGUUUAAUCUUCUAAUAGUGAGUACCUAAACACUCUUCAAGCCUAGCCUUAUAAAAAUGGUAGCAUUGAUGCUGACCUUUGGUUUGAGAGGUCUCAGCUGUUCACUGGUCUCCAAUAUGGCCGGUUGUUUUAAAGACUGUAUCUAGCACAUGAAUCUGCUAUUACUGAUGCCUGUGCAGUGCCUUAGCUUGGCAGUGCAGCUGUGAGAUCCACUGGGAACAAACCUUGCAUAGUGUUCUAGGAAUGGAAGAAGAAAAAUGGCCUGGAGAGGCAGGGGGAGCCUUUGAAGGGGUGGCUGUGCCCUCCCACUGGAACUGUUAGCCAUGGGCAUCCCACUUGGAGCCUGAGAUGCUGGUUAGCAUCAGGACCUACAGGCUCAGGCUGCUAUCAACGCAGUGACCUAUCCUUAAAUGGUGCUCAUAUGGUGGUGUUAUAUGGUGAUACAUUUUAUUGUCAUGUUAGUAAACAGGAAGAUAGUUGAACUAUUUUUAACUUUCAUUUUAUACCACUAUUUAUAAAGAGUCAGCUGCCCCCAAGCUCUCUGAAUAAACAGUUGGACUGAGUGUGCAGUUUUCCAAUGCUUUACAUAAAGAAUGCCUUUGAGAGAAAACUGUGUUACCCAUAUUCUGAAAUGAGCAAAAGUUUUUUUCCACUGAGAACAGGCUACCUGUUUGCACCCAUGUUCCCAGCCCCUACUGCAGCUACAGACUGCAUUGCUCUUUCUUUCUCAAAAUAAAUUACACAGAAGCCCUCCUGUUCCCAAAAGUUGCUUAGGCACUCGCAAUGGAGAAUGACUUCACUGCAGUGUUUAUACUAGGAGAUUCCUUCUCUGAUACUAACAACAUUUUCAUUUAGCUUGAUGGAUGUAGUGCAUUUGCACUAAAACACUACAAAUUUUAUUUUAUUUUUUUUAAAGUAUGCGAGCAACUGUUUUAUACUCUAGGUAAUUCUAUCUGGAGAGUACUCCAUAUAUAAAUUCAUGUUCCAAAAAUGCAUCUGUUUAUUUCUCCAUAGAUAUAGAGAAAAACAGAAGGAAAAUCAGCGCAGAAAAUGUUUGAUGUAGCACUAGGAUCUGUGCCACUGUCCUUUUAUUAACAGGCAAAUUUAAAAGAAACCUGAAAAAGUUAGGGAAAUACUUGUUUCAGAUGAAUACAUUAUUGAUUUGCUUUUCAGUAUCUCCAAUGGCGACCUCCUGGGGCCUGGUAAAGUACAUAUGCUUACAAAAAGAAUUCAGCGCUUUAUGAAACUGCAGCCAUGGUUUAAUAUGGUUUAAGACUUGCACUGUUUCAUAUUAUAUUGCACCAGGAACAGGUGAAUAUUUUUCCUCCCAUUAAAUCAUAAUGGAAAACAGCAUUAGCCUAUUGGAAAUUUCAGCUUCCACCCACUGAUUCUCUGAGUUAAUUACCAGUAUCACUGGUUCCGGCUCAGCAAAACACACCUAUUGAGCAAUAAAUUGCGAGCAGAUGGUCUUAAUAUUAAAUAUAUGUUUAAGUCUUCUUUCUCUUUUGAGUGGUUUUUAGCAUAUAGUUGAUGUUACACUGAAUAGACACAUAUUUAUAUAUGUUUAAAGUUUUACUGUGUUGUGAACUUUUCCCCUACUUGGAUC
RNAcentral lists this long non-coding RNA (1655 nucleotides) under Strigops habroptila (Kakapo). Its description in RNAcentral is "lncRNA (ENSSHBG00005014737.1)". Lineage: Eukaryota; Metazoa; Chordata; Aves; Psittaciformes; Psittacidae. The record is from RNAcentral.